UUUCCUUCGUUGCGGUCACCUCUUCACUUGCUUUCGUCCGUGCUCUCGCCAUCGCAGUCAUUUUUGCCAUCGACAUCAUCAUCGGCGUUGCAGUCAACAAGGAUUCAAAAGCUGGCGGCGGAAUAUGUUUCUAAACUUAGCAGAAUGAAUUUCACCAACGCCAGUUCCUUACAGGAAGCCAUAGCGGUUUUGGAAAUAUUUAUCACAGGUAUUAAAAACAUCACAAAAGCUCGUAACCGCGCCCCUAUAACAGAUGGGAUUGAGACAAGAAGAGGAUCCACUUUUAAAGUGGCUAUCGCCUUUGA
Long non-coding RNA from Pocillopora damicornis (cauliflower coral), 305 nucleotides. The record is from RefSeq and is a predicted model, not a curated record. NCBI's taxonomy places the organism in Eukaryota, Metazoa, Cnidaria, Anthozoa, Scleractinia, Pocilloporidae.